CCCUUAGAUGUCCUGGGCAGCACGCGUGCUACAAUGAUGCAUUCAACGAGUCUUGUCUUAACCGAAAGGUUCGGGUAAACUUUUGAAAUUGCAUCUUGUCGGGGCUUGAUCAUUGUAAUUUUUGAUCACAAACAAGGAAUUCCUUGUAAAUGUGAGUCAUCAACUUGCAUUGAAUACGUCCCUGCCCUUUGUACACACCGCCCGUCGCUUCUACCGAUGAAUGAUCCGGUGAACACUCUGGACUUGUUGUCUGUCGGAGCAAUCCAAAGACGAUAGGGAAGUUGUGUAAACCUUAUCAUUUAGAGGAAGAAGAAGUCGUAACA
RNAcentral lists this ribosomal RNA (323 nucleotides) under uncultured eukaryote. RNAcentral describes it as "partial 18S ribosomal RNA". It matches the Rfam family "Eukaryotic small subunit ribosomal RNA", at positions 1470 to 1796 of the family's 1831-position model. The record is from RNAcentral.